RNAcentral lists this microRNA (20 nucleotides) under Mus musculus (house mouse). RNAcentral describes it as "mmu-miR-1199-5p". The record is from miRBase by way of RNAcentral. Lineage: Eukaryota; Metazoa; Chordata; Mammalia; Rodentia; Muridae.
UCUGAGUCCCGGUCGCGCGG